GCCGGGUGUGGUGGUGCACACCUGUAAUCCCAGCUACUCAGGAGGCUGAGGCAGGAGAAUCACUUGAACCCAGGAGGCAGAGGUUGCAGUGAGCCGAGAUUGUGCCAUUGCACUCCAGCCUAGGCAACAGAGUGAGACUCUGUCUCAA
RNAcentral lists this non-coding RNA (148 nucleotides) under Chlorocebus sabaeus (green monkey). The record is from Rfam by way of RNAcentral. Lineage: Eukaryota; Metazoa; Chordata; Mammalia; Primates; Cercopithecidae.